UUUUUCAUGAAUUCUGUGAUAGGUAGAUUUAGGAAAAUUUAGAGUGGUGCUGGCAGUCGGCCAUGAGGCAAGGCCUUAGAUGCUAAAGACUAAAGGCUAGUACAUUAAUGACUUGGGUGAAUAUAAUAAGCUGAUAUUGAAUAACAGUGGGGGCAUACUUUUGCAAAGUGAAUGCGAAUGGGAGCCGGCUUUUAGAAAUUCCAAACACGCGCGUUUGGUGCGUUCAGGUACACACUUAGAGCGUUAGAAAAUCCAGGCGGCGAACUGGUCUGCUGAGACAUAAAGACCAGCAGGAUAAACUCAUACAAGUAGACCCGUAUGGGAUUGGUUAGGGGGUUCGCAUGAGGCGUGACAAUGCGCAUGUUGUCCACUAGGUUUCCCACAAUAAUUACGGCGUCUUUAGAGAAGACUCUUCUCUUCAUUUCCCCUCUCUGUGCAUAAAGUCCUUCACAAUUAGGUAUUGCAGGAUUUAAUAGAUUGGGGGGGGGGAGCUUGCUCUACGGGAUUGGCUUAAGUAUAUGAUUAAGGAAGCUCGAAGCUUUGGAGGCCUGAAGUCUGGAGGAUAAGAAGAGGUUAAAGGCCUGCAGUCUUGCCUUGAAUUUUGAGGCCAGUAGUCUCAUUUCAUAAGCAAGGCCAGUAGUCUUGUUUUGAGGCCAGUAGUCUCAUUUAAUAAAUGGGGCCAGUAGUCCUGCUUAAUAGAAAAUCCAGCGGCGACUGGUUAAGGUUAUGGUUAAGGUGAAAUCCAGCGGUGACUGGUAAGAUCUGCUUAACAUUUUCCACUCUCUAGAAAUCCUAUGAAUUAGGUAGAUAGGUUAUCUAGAAGAGGGUGGGUGGCAGAUAAGCGCUUUUGUGUAAAUGAUAGUGUAUAUACAUCUGCAUGCUGGUGUGAGUGUGAUAACGUGGUGCAUGUGCUUGAUUGAUGAAUAGAUGUUCCGAAUUAUGUUUUGCUAUGUGUAUGUGAUUGUUUAACAGUGUAUAUAUAUGUAUAGAAUCCGAACUGGAGACUGAUCAUCUCCGGCGUCGGGUUGUAAAACCAUAGCAUAUUAAGGUGUUGGUGAGUAGACCAACCCGGACCACGUGGGGCUGCCUUGCCAGCGGCUAACGGGGUCUCAUUGGUAAUUCCACUGGGGAUAUAGCGUGGGUUAGCAGUUAGCUUCAGCCCAUUGUUCUUCGCUACGCCAGCACACGGCGUUUUACGAUCCAUGUGCUGAGGUGUGAGGCACUUCCUCUUUGGUAGUUCUGUGUUCGAUCUUCAGCUAUCGGCUGAACAGCGCCUCAUGUGGUUGGAGUAAGUGCACAUCGUGAGGGGGAAGCCCCUGAGUGUGCCAUGUGGUGGGUGUAAGAGGGAAUUACAAGAGGGGGAGUUCAAUUUCCUCACUUGCUCCGAGUUCGGACGUUGACUUUGAUGCGCAUUUGCCUUUACUUACUAGGAUAGUGUAAAGAUUGAUAAGACAACUUGACGGAUAUCUGGAUUGGUGUUGACGUUUAUUUGAAACAUUAAAGUGCUGUAAUGUCACGUUGAAUUUGGUUUGUACUAUAGUUCUGCAUCGAUUUUGGAUUGAAAUUGGAGGUUGACUUAAUUUUGAUGUGGUGCUUUUGAGAAGCUGUUAUGAAUUGUUUGAUUUCGAUCUCCAAUGUUUAGCUGAAACCAGAUUGACUGUCAUUGCAUUGUCUCUGGGUUGGGGGUGGAUCGUUGUUUAUAUUGUGGUAUAAUCUCUGGCGACAUUUGUGGGGGAGUGCUUCUGCUAUACUUCCUGAUUGAUAUUGCCGGCAGUUUGACUGUAUCAUCAUAACUUUGAAUAAUUUUGUAACCUUGAUUAAUAAUUUGGAGUAAUUCAUUUUUAGACAUCAAGAUUAACUUUAUUGAAGUUUAAUUUUUAGACUUUUGAAUUUUGAAUGAAGAUUGAGUUUUGAUUUGAGAUAUAAUUAAUUCUUUCUCUUUUUCCUCUGUUUAAUUGUAAUCAUAGUCUUUGGCAUUGAUCAUUGAUUAUACUAAUUUUUA
This is a long non-coding RNA of Gasterosteus aculeatus aculeatus (three-spined stickleback), 2002 nucleotides long. The record is from Ensembl. NCBI's taxonomy places the organism in Eukaryota, Metazoa, Chordata, Actinopteri, Perciformes, Gasterosteidae.